RNAcentral lists this transfer RNA (72 nucleotides) under Phrynosoma platyrhinos (Desert horned lizard). RNAcentral's name for it is "tRNA-OTHER". The record is from RNAcentral. Lineage: Eukaryota; Metazoa; Chordata; Lepidosauria; Squamata; Phrynosomatidae.
GCCAGUGUGGUAUAAUGGUUUGAGCAUUGGACUACGAUUCUGGAGAGCAGGGUUUGAAUCCCCGCUCGGCCA